This 1750-nucleotide ribosomal RNA is filed under the name Hydaticus sp. NLG-2014. Its description in RNAcentral is "partial 16S ribosomal RNA". The record is from RNAcentral. Lineage: Eukaryota; Metazoa; Arthropoda; Insecta; Coleoptera; Dytiscidae.
UAAACUAGGAUUAGAUACCCUAUUAUUUUAAAUGUAAAAUAAAAAUACUGAAGUAGUAAUAGUUAUGUUCUUUAAAUUUAAAGAUUUUGGCGGUAUUUUAGUCUAUUCAGAGGAACCUGUUCUGUAAUUGAUAGUCCACGAUUAACUUUACUUAAUUUAAAAAUUUGUAUAUCGUCGUUUUUAAUAAUUUUAUAAGAAUUUAAAUUUUUAAGAUUUUUCAUUAAAAAAUAUAUCAGAUCAAGGUGCAGUUUAUAGUUAAGUAGAAAUGGGUUACAAUAAAUUUAUUUAUACGGAUGAGUAUAUUAAAAUGUUAUUUUGAAGGAGGAUUUGAUAGUAAUAAAGUUAAUUUAAAUUUUAUGAUUUUAGCUCUAAAAUAUGUACAUAUCGCCCGUCGCUCUUAUUAUAAAAUAAGAUAAGUCGUAACAUAGUAGAUGUACUGGAAAGUGUAUCUAGAAUGAUCAAAUUAGAGCUUGAAUUAGUAAAGCAUUUUAUUUACACUAAAAAGUUGUCGUGCGAAUCGAUUUAAUGAUAGAAAAUUAUUAUUAGUAUAAAAAGUUUUAUUUUAAUUUAAUAAAAAUAAUUUUAAUUUUAUGAAGUUUUAGUAAUGUUUAAAGAAAAAAUUUAUAUAAUUAUAGUAAAUUAGUAUUGUAAAAGAAUUUUGAAAUAAAAAUUUAUAAAAUAAUAGUAAUAUUAAUUUUGUGUACCUUGUGUAUCAGGGUUUAUUAAAUAAAUAUUAUAAAUAUUAAUUUUCCCGAGUUUAAGAGAGAGAAUAUAAUAUAUUUUUUAUUGUGAAAAAAAUAUUUAAAAUAUUAUAUUAGUAAUGAAAUGUUAUUCGUUCUUAAAUAUAUCUGGUUUAUUUAGAAAUGAAUUUAAUUCAAUUUAUUUAAUUUAAAUAUUUUAUUUUUUUAAUUUAUUUAAUUAAAUAAGUAAUAAUUAAAGGGAUUAGCUUUUAAUUAAAAUUUUAUAAAUAAAAUUUUUAUUUUUUAAAAAAUGUAAGUUUAGAAAUAUCUAUCAUUAAUAAUUUGUUAUAAUUAAUUUAAUAAAAAAUAUUAUUUUAUAUUAUUUUAAAUUUUUUAUAAAUAAAUAAUUUAUAAUAAUGAAAAUUUAGUUAUAAUGAUAAAAUUAGUAUAUAUAAAUGUUUAAAUAAUAAUAUAUGAAAGAUUAUUUAAAGGAAUUCGGCAAAAAUUUUACUCGCCUGUUUAACAAAAACAUGUCCUUUAGUUUAUUUAUUUAAGGUCUGGCCUGCCCACUGAAAUUAUUUGAAGGGCCGCAGUAAUUUGACUGUGCAAAGGUAGCAUAAUCAUUAGUUUUUUAAUUGAAAGCUUGUAUGAAGGGUCGGACGAGGUAAAUUCUGUCUCUAUUUAAUUUAUUAUAAAAUUUAAUUUUUAAGUUAAAAAGCUUAAAUGUAUUUAAAAGACGAGAAGACCCUAUAGAUCUUUAUAUUAAGUUUAUUAAUUUUAAUGUAGAAUUUUUUCUUUAUUAUUAAUUUUAGUAUUUUAUUGGGGUAAUAAAAAGAUUAAUAUAAUUCUUUUUGAAAUUUUUCAUUAAUUUAUGUUUAUUUGAUCCAAUUUUUUUGAUUAAAAGAUUAAGUUACCUUAGGGAUAACAGCGUAAUUUUUUUAGAGAGUUCAUAUCGAUAAAAAAGUUUGCGACCUCGAUGUUGGAUUAAAAAUUAUCUUAGGUGCAGAAGUUUAAGAUUUUGGUCUGUUCGACCAUUAAAUUUUUACAUGAUCUGAGUUCAAAACCGGAGA